RNAcentral lists this ribosomal RNA (377 nucleotides) under uncultured bacterium. RNAcentral describes it as "bacterial SSU rRNA". It matches the Rfam family "Bacterial small subunit ribosomal RNA", at positions 521 to 896 of the family's 1533-position model. The record is from RNAcentral.
UAAUACAGAGGGUGCGAGCGUUAAUCGGAAUUACUGGGCGUAAAGCGCACGUAGGUGGAUAUUUAAGUUGGAUGUGAAAUCCCCGGGCUCAACCUGGGAGGGUCAUCUGAAACUGAAUAUCUUGAGUACAGUAGAGGGAAGUGGAAUUUCCGGUGUAGCGGUGAAAUGCGUAGAUAUCGGAAAGAACACCAGUGGCGAAGGCGACUUUCUGGACUGAUACUGACACUGAGGUGCGAAAGCGUGGGUAGCGAACAGGAUUAGAUACCCUGGUAGUCCACGCUGUAAACGAUGAGAACUAGCCGUUGGAGGAGAUAAAUCCUUUUGUGGCGCAGCUAACGCGAUAAGUUCUCCGCCUGGGGAGUACGGCCGCAAGGUUA